GUCGCUUUAGCUCACUUGGGAGAGCGCCAGACUGAAGUUCACUUCGGUUCGAUGCAUUCUGUGCGGUAUCUGGAGGUACUGUGUUCGAUCUACAGAAGCGACA
RNAcentral lists this transfer RNA (103 nucleotides) under Friedmanniomyces endolithicus. RNAcentral describes it as "tRNA-Phe". It matches the Rfam family "tRNA". Rfam says of the family: Transfer RNA (tRNA) molecules are approximately 80 nucleotides in length. The record is from RNAcentral. Lineage: Eukaryota; Fungi; Ascomycota; Dothideomycetes; Mycosphaerellales; Teratosphaeriaceae.